GACUAUCGACAUUAACUCGAGUUAAUAUGAGUUCAACAAGACAUCAAAUCAAUCAAACAAAUUUAUCAUGUCAUUUUCAAUUUCUAGUAGAAGAAAUAGUCAUGAAAGUUCACAUACUUUCUUUCAUAAAAUUUCAUUACUUUAGGAUUUUCCCAUAUGUAACGUAUGCAAAGAAAUAGUCAUGGAAAUUCACACAUUUUCAACAAAUGCAUUCGUCGAAUAUUUAUGCAUCCAAUUCAUCACGACCAAAAUAAAGAAGUAGCAACUCACAUUCCAAAUAUAACCAUGUGGCUAACGCCAUAUGUGCCUUCUUAUAAGAAUAAUAUUCUCAAAUAUUUUCCAAACAAAUUGAACACAAAAUUAGAUAAUAAAGCAGCCACUAAAUCUCGUUAGUGACCAGAAUCAUCUAAUUGAAAUAUAUAUAUAUAUAUAUAUGCAAAUUUUGGAAUUUGUAAAUGACAAGCACAUGCAGUUGUAUCAUAUAUGAAAUGAUGACAUCCAUUAAUUUGCUGACUUUUCCCAGAAUUCAAUGGACAUGAAUACCAAAAAGGGCAUGCAUAAAUCAGCCAUCUUCAUUUUAU
Molecule: long non-coding RNA, 581 nt
Filed under: Olea europaea subsp. europaea
Lineage: Eukaryota; Viridiplantae; Streptophyta; Magnoliopsida; Lamiales; Oleaceae
Source: RNAcentral